AUUGAACGCUGGCGGCAUGCCUUACACAUGUAAGUCGAACGGCAGCACGGGUGCUUGCCCCUGGUGGCGAGUGGCGAACGGGUGAGUAAUACAUCGGAACAUGUCCUGUAGUGGGGGAUAGCCCGGCGAAAGCCGGAUUAAUACCGCAUACGAUCUACGGAUGAAAGCGGGGGACCUUCGGGCCUCGCGCUAUAGGGUUGGCCGAUGGCUGAUUAGCUAGUUGGUGGGGUAAAGGCCUACCAAGGCGACGAUCAGUAGCUGGUCUGAGAGGACGACCAGCCACACUGGGACUGAGACACGGCCCAGACUCCUACGGGCGGCAGCAGUGGGGAAUUUUGGACAAUGGGCGAAAGCCUGAUCCAGCAAUGCCGCGUGUGUGAAGAAGGCCUUCGGGUUGUAAAGCACUUUUGUCCGGAAAGAAAUCCUUGGCCCUAAUACGGUCGGGGGAUGACGGUACCGGAAGAAUAAGCACCGGCUAACUACG
This 484-nucleotide ribosomal RNA is filed under the name uncultured bacterium. RNAcentral describes it as "partial 16S ribosomal RNA". It matches the Rfam family "Bacterial small subunit ribosomal RNA", at positions 30 to 505 of the family's 1533-position model. The record is from RNAcentral.